Molecule: ribosomal RNA, 38 nt
Filed under: Macrodiplodiopsis desmazieri
Lineage: Eukaryota; Fungi; Ascomycota; Dothideomycetes; Pleosporales
Description: partial 28S ribosomal RNA
Source: RNAcentral
CUUGACCUCGGAUCAGGUAGGGAUACCCGCUGAACUUA